This 714-nucleotide ribosomal RNA is filed under the name uncultured fungus. RNAcentral describes it as "SSU rRNA". It matches the Rfam family "Eukaryotic small subunit ribosomal RNA", at positions 851 to 1587 of the family's 1831-position model. The record is from RNAcentral. Lineage: Eukaryota; Fungi.
CUAGAAUCGCCGUAAUGAUUAAUAGGGAUAGUUGGGGGCAUUCGUAUUCAAUUGCUAGAGGUGAAAUUCUUGGAUUUAUUGAAGACGAACUACUGCGAAAGCAUUUGCCAAGGAUGUUUUCAUUGAUCAAGAACGAAGGUUAGGGGAUCGAAAACGAUCAGAUACCGUUGUAGUCUUAACAGUAAACGAUGCCGACUAGGGAUCGGACGAGGAUUUUUAAUGACUCGUUCGGCACCUGAAGAGAAAUCUUUAAGUCUAGGUUCGGGGGGGAGUAUGGUCGCAAGGCUGAAACUUAAAGGAAUUGACGGAAGGGCACCACCAGGUGUGGAGCCUGCGGCUUAAUUUGACUCAACACGGGGAAACUCACCAGGUCCAGACACGACAAGGAUUGACAGAUUGAUAGCUCUUUCUUGAUUUCGUGGUUGGUGGUGCAUGGCCGUUCUUAGUUGGUGGAGUGAUUUGUCUGGUUAAUUCCGAUAACGAACGAGACCUUAACCUGCUAAAUAGCCCGGCCGACUUUGGUUGGUCGCUGGCUUCUUAGAGGGACUAUCAGCGUUUAGCUGAUGGAAGUUUGAGGCAAUAACAGGUCUGUGAUGCCCUUAGAUGUUCUGGGCCGCACGCGCGCUACACUGACCGAACCAGCGAGUUUAUCACCUUGGCCGGAAGGCCUGGGUAAUCUUGUGAAACUCGGUCGUGAUGGGGAUAGAGCAUUGC